AGCUGGGUAGCGCAGUGGAAGCGCGCCGGGCUCAUAACCCGGAGGGCAGUGGAUCAAAACCACUCUCAGCUA
Molecule: transfer RNA, 72 nt
Filed under: Aulographum hederae CBS 113979
Lineage: Eukaryota; Fungi; Ascomycota; Dothideomycetes; Aulographales; Aulographaceae
Rfam family: tRNA
About the family: Transfer RNA (tRNA) molecules are approximately 80 nucleotides in length. Their secondary structure includes four short double-helical elements and three loops (D, anti-codon, and T loops).
Source: Rfam by way of RNAcentral